Molecule: ribosomal RNA, 497 nt
Filed under: uncultured bacterium
Lineage: Bacteria
Description: partial 16S ribosomal RNA
Rfam family: Bacterial small subunit ribosomal RNA
Source: RNAcentral
GAUGAACGCUGGCGGCGUGCCUAAUACAUGCAAGUCGAGCGAACAGACGAGGAGCUUGCUCCUCUGACGUUAGCGGCGGACGGGUGAGUAACACGUGGAUAACCUACCUAUAAGACUGGGAUAACUUCGGGAAACCGGAGCUAAUACCGGAUAAUAUAUUGAACCGCAUGGUUCAAUAGUGAAAGACGGUUUUGCUGUCACUUAUAGAUGGAUCCGCGCCGCAUUAGCUAGUUGGUAAGGUAACGGCUUACCAAGGCAACGAUGCGUAGCCGACCUGAGAGGGUGAUCGGCCACACUGGAACUGAGACACGGUCCAGACUCCUACGGGAGGCAGCAGUAGGGAAUCUUCCGCAAUGGGCGAAAGCCUGACGGAGCAACGCCGCGUGAGUGAUGAAGGUCUUCGGAUCGUAAAACUCUGUUAUUAGGGAAGAACAAAUGUGUAAGUAGCUAUGCACGUCUUGACGGUACCUAAUCAGAAAGCCACGACUAACUACGUG